UAGCGGCGGACGGGUGAGUAACGCGUGAGAAACCUGCCUUUCACAAGGGGAUAGCCUCGGGAAACUGGGAUUAAUACCCUAUGACACUUUUAAAUCGCAUGAUUUUAAAGUUAAAGCGUAAAGCGGUGAAAGAUGGUCUCGCGUCCCAUUAGUUAGUUGGUGAGGUAGAGGCUCACCAAGACGUCGAUGGGUAGCCGGCCUGAGAGGGUGAACGGCCACACUGGAACUGAGACACGGUCCAGACUCCUACGGGAGGCAGCAGUGGGGAAUAUUGCACAAUGGAGGAAACUCUGAUGCAGCGACGCCGCGUGAACGACGAAGGCCUUCGGGUCGUAAAGUUCUGUCCUUGGGGACGAUAAUGACGGUACCCAAGGAGGAGGCCCCGGCUAACUACGUGCCAGCAGCCGCGGUAAUACGUAGGGGGCGAGCGUUGUCCGGAAUUAUUGGGCGUAAAGGGUUCGCAGGCGGUUCCUUAAGUCAGAUGUUAAAUGCAUAGGCUCAACC
Molecule: ribosomal RNA, 504 nt
Filed under: uncultured bacterium
Lineage: Bacteria
Description: bacterial SSU rRNA
Rfam family: Bacterial small subunit ribosomal RNA
Source: RNAcentral